AGGUCCGGCUGGGGAGCGGAACGGCAUGGGAGGGCCGGCCGCAGCGGGUGACAGCCCCGUACGCGAACCCAGACCGGACGGCGCGACGCGGUCCCUGAGUAGGGCCGGGCACGUGAAACCCGGUCCGAACCUGGGUGGACCACCAUCCAAGCCUGAGUACUACCCUGUGACCGAUAGCGCACCAGUACCGUGAGGGAAAGGUGAAAAGCACCCCGGGAGGGGAGUGAAACAGUACCUGAAACCGUGCGCCCACGAGCAGUCGGAGCACCUUUAUGGUGUGACGGCGUGCCUUUUGUAGAAUGAGCCAGCGAGUCGCUGGCGCGGGGCGAGGUUAACCGAAAGGGAGCCGAAGCGAAAGCGAGCCUUAACAGGGCGACUUGAGUCCCGCGCCGCGGACGCGAAGCCGGGUGAGCUAUCCGUGGGCAGGCUGAAGCGGGGGUAAGACCCCGUGGAGGGCCGAACGCACGUCGGUUGAAAACGGCGGCGAUGACCUGCGGAUAGGGGUGAAAGGCCAAUCAAACCCGGAGAUAUCUCGUUCUCCCCGAAAUAGCUUUAGGGCUAGCGUCGCGCGUUCACCGCCGGAGGUAGAGCACCGGAUGGACGAGGGGGCUUCGCCGCCUACCGAAUCCAACCGAACUCCGAAUGCCGGCGGCCCAGAGCGCGGCAGUCAGAGCAUGUGGGCUAAGCUGUGUGCUCGAGAGGGAAACAGCCCGGACCGCCCGCUAAGGUCCCCAAGUUCCAGCCGAGUGGCAAAGGAUGUGCGUCCGCCCAGACAACCAGGAUGUUGGCUUAGAAGCAGCCAUCCAUUCAAAGAGUGCGUAACAGCUCACUGGUCGAGUGGACAUGCGCCGACAAUACACGGGGCUAAGCUGGACACCGAAGCGGCGGGAUUUUGAUUUACAGAAUCGGUAGGGGAGCUUCCCAUGGGCGGAGAAGCCGUCAGGGCGACCGACGGUGGAGCGCAUGGGAGUGAGAAUGCUGGCAUGAGUAGCGAGAGACGAGAGAGUAACUCGUCCGCCGUGAACCCGAGGUUUCCUGGGCAAGGCUAAUCCUCCCAGGGUCAGUCGGGGGCUAAGGCGAGGCCGGAAGGCGUAGCCGACGCGCAGCAGGCAGACAUUCCUGCACCGCGCACGCGGCGCUACGACCGACGGGGCGACGGAUGGGGGUGGCUCGGCGGGGUUCUGGACGUCCCCGUGAUGGAGCGCGGCCCGCGGACCAGGGAAAUCCGGUCCGCACGAGGGCGAGGCUCCGGACGAAGCGAUCAAGCGAAGCGAGUGAGCCCGAGGUCCCUAGAAAAACCCCUAGGCAGGCGCGUGCGCGCCCGUACCGCAAACCGACACAGGUGGGUGGGUAGAACAUACCGAGGCGAUCGGGUCAACCAUGGUCAAGGAACUCGGCACAAUGGCCCCGUAACUUCGGGAGAAGGGGUGCCCGCGCGUACGUGAACGGACUUGCUCCGGGAGCGGAGGCGGGCCGCAGUGGAGAGGCCCAAGCGACUGUUUACCAAAAACACAGGACUCUGCAGAAGCCGCAAGGCGACGUAUAGGGUCUGACGCCUGCCCGGUGCCGGAAGGUCACGCGGAGGAGUUAGCGCAUCGCGCGAAGCCCCGAAGCCAAGCCCCGGUAAACGGCGGCCGUAACUAUAACGGUCCUAAGGUAGCGAAAUUCCUUGUCGGGUAAGUUCCGACCUGCACGAAAGGCGCAACGACUUGGGCGCUGUCUCGACCAUGGACCCGGUGAAAUUGCACUGGUCGUGAAGAUGCGACUUACCCGCGGAAGGACGGAAAGACCCCGUGAACCUUCACUGCAGCUUGGCAUUGGCCGCUGGUCCCGCGUGUAGAGGAUAGGCAGGAGGCUAAGAUCCGGAGGCGCCAGCCCCCGGGGAGCCGCCCUUGGAAUACUGCCCUCGCGCGACCGGCGUCCUAACCCGAGGCCGUCAACCGGCUCGGGGACCGUGCCAGGCGGGCAGUUUGACUGGGGCGGUCGCCUCCUAAAGGGUAACGGAGGCGCGCGAAGGUCCGCUCGGGACGGUCGGCAACCGUCCUUUUGAAUGCAAGAGUACAAGCGGGCUUGACUGCGAGGCCCACAAGCCGAGCAGGUGCGAAAGCAGGCUCUAGUGAUCCGGCGGCCCCGAGUGGGUGGGCCGUCGCUCAACGGAUAAAAGGUACUCCGGGGAUAACAG
Molecule: ribosomal RNA, 2182 nt
Filed under: human gut metagenome
Description: bacterial LSU rRNA
Rfam family: Bacterial large subunit ribosomal RNA
Source: RNAcentral